CUAAUAAAUGCAAGUCGAGCGGACAGAUGGGAGCUUGCUCCCUGAUGUUAGCGGCGGACGGGUGAGUAACACGUGGGUAACCUGCCUGUAAGACUGGGAUAACUCCGGGAAACCGGGGCUAAUACCGGAUGGUUGUUUGAACCGCAUGGUUCAGACAUAAAAGGUGGCUUCGGCUACCACUUACAGAUGGACCCGCGGCGCAUUAGCUAGUUGGUGAGGUAACGGCUCACCAAGGCGACGAUGCGUAGCCGACCUGAGAGGGUGAUCGGCCACACUGGGACUGAGACACGGCCCAGACUCCUACGGGAGGCAGCAGUAGGGAAUCUUCCGCAAUGGACGAAAGUCUGACGGAGCAACGCCGCGUGAGUGAUGAAGGUUUUCGGAUCGUAAAGCUCUGUUGUUAGGGAAGAACAAGUGCCGUUCAAAUAGGGCGGCACCUUGACGGUACCUAACCAGAAAGCCACGGCUAACUACGUGCCAGCAGCCGCGGUAAUACGUAGGUGGCAAGCGUUGUCCGGAAUUAUUGGGCGUAAAGGGCUCGCAGGCGGUUUCUUAAGUCUGAUGUGAAAGCCCCCGGCUCAACCGGGGAGGGUCAUUGGAAACUGGGGAACUUGAGUGCAGAAGAGGAGAGUGGAAUUCCACGUGUAGCGGUGAAAUGCGUAGAGAUGUGGAGGAACACCAGUGGCGAAGGCGACUCUCUGGUCUGUAACUGACGCUGAGGAGCGAAAGCGUGGGGAGCGAACAGGAUUAGAUACCCUGGUAGUCCACGCCGUAAACGAUGAGUGCUAAGUGUUAGGGGGUUUCCGCCCCUUAGUGCUGCAGCUAACGCAUUAAGCACUCCGCCUGGGGAGUACGGUCGCAAGACUGAAACUCAAAGGAAUUGACGGGGGCCCGCACAAGCGGUGGAGCAUGUGGUUUAAUUCGAAGCAACGCGAAGAACCUUACCAGGUCUUGACAUCCUCUGACAAUCCUAGAGAUAGGACGUCCCCUUCGGGGGCAGAGUGACAGUGUGCAUGGUUGUCGUCAGCUCGUGUCGUGAGAUGUUGGGUUAAGUCCGCAACGAGCGCAACCC
Molecule: ribosomal RNA, 1072 nt
Filed under: Bacillus sp. MK5
Lineage: Bacteria; Bacillati; Bacillota; Bacilli; Caryophanales; Bacillaceae
Description: bacterial SSU rRNA
Rfam family: Bacterial small subunit ribosomal RNA
Source: RNAcentral